GGGCCUUUCUCGACCAGCGGCACCACCUUCUUCGCCUCUCAUUUUUGUUGAAAACCGCAAAAAGAAGAAGCUUUAAGCAUAAUUUCUUCUCAAUACCAUCCAUCUCUCUUUAUUUCCAGUAGAGAUGAAAAAUCUUAUCUCUUUCAACAAUUCUGAUCUAUGUAUAGGAAGAUCCCAUCUCUCUCUUCUCAUGGUUCUUUUCUCUUAGCAAAACCCGGGUAAUCGAGCUUUAAAGACCUCUCUCUUUUAUCUCAAUUAGAAACUCGUGAGCCUCUGGAAUUUUUCUCUCGGGAAAAAUCACGGCCCUGAGUUAGCUGAUUGGGUUUUUUAUGGUGGUCCCAAAAAUUCAAAAAACGUGAUUUCUUACAAGAAUCUCAAGCUAGUCAUCCACAUGGUGUGAAGCCUUCGUAUUUGAUGCCUCAAUAGUCGACCCUCGAGGUAGUUUAUUCAAGUUGCGGCAUGAAGAUUUCGAAGAGAUCGGAAAUCUUGGACAUCGCGAUAAUAUUAUGCAAGUUUAUAAAGAAUUCCGCUGACCAGGAUUCUGCAGAUUCUCCUACAAGAUCGAGAUUGUCGAAAGUAUGCAAGAGGGUUUCUCUGAGCCACUUUCCAUUCAAGCGUUGCUCCAGAGAUUUGGACGAUUAAUUAUCAAUGUGCUAUAUGAUGGCUAUCAGACUGAUAAUCCUACAAUUGAAGGUACGAAAUUUCUUGGAUUGGUUGUUGAAAGCAUCAAAGCUAGAAGGUUGGCAUGUGAACAACUAUCUUAUUACGCUCAGGUACACAUGUCUUAUUAUCUACAUAGAAUGAUGUCCAUGAAUUCUUAUUUAACUUUUUUGAAGCGGUAAUUGAUGCUGCUUCCAUCAUGUCGUAAGUGAAGAUGUUUUGUUUCUCCCCAGUAUGAUCCCUAUAUAUGGUUUGGAUUGUUAACUUGGGUUCUUUGUAGAAUAAUUAAGCAGCGAUACUUUGAAUAGGAUACGGUCAAUAUGAGUACUUAGAAGUUAUAUAUUGGAAUGUUCAAAUAAUUCUCAACCCUUUGCUUUAUUUUUCAUGUGUGUUGGCUGUGGGUCUUUUUCUUGUGUGCUGAUCUGGCUCACUCCUGCCUGUUCUCAAGUAAUUUGACUGAAGAACAUCGAAAGAAACAUCUCUUGUUCAUCAGAUGGAAGUACUAAAAACCAAGUGACGGAUGUCCUAGACAUACAUAUUAUCGGCCUCUACAACUAUCCAUAGUUGAGGAUAAAUUCAGUAAUGUUGAACUACUUUCAGCAGAAAUCUCCAGCCCAAGAAACGUUAAAGCUGCUCAGGAAAACACUAAUAGUGCAACAAAAAUCACAAGGUAUAAUCAUCUUUUGAAUAAGAGUGUUGAGUCUCACUUAGAACCACUAUGCAAGAGUAUGUAGGGUCGUGAGCUUUGAAAGUUGAUGCUAAUUACUUGUAUAUUGUUAGCAUUUUGUAAAAGCCAUUUGUACAAGUGCGGCUGUAGAAAUAUUUUUAUUGAAUCAAUAUAUUCCUCUAUUUUGGCA
This is a long non-coding RNA of Papaver somniferum (opium poppy), 1517 nucleotides long. RefSeq lists it as uncharacterized. The record is from RefSeq and is a predicted model, not a curated record. NCBI's taxonomy places the organism in Eukaryota, Viridiplantae, Streptophyta, Magnoliopsida, Ranunculales, Papaveraceae. The transcript is spliced from 7 exons.